Molecule: ribosomal RNA, 1335 nt
Filed under: Triticum aestivum (bread wheat)
Lineage: Eukaryota; Viridiplantae; Streptophyta; Magnoliopsida; Poales; Poaceae
Description: partial small subunit ribosomal RNA
Source: RNAcentral
AUGUCGGACGUCGUCGAUCCCCUCGACUCCCUCCCCUCGGCGAUCCUCGCCGAUGUCCUCGGCCGCGUCGCGGACGCCGGGGACAUCGCGGCUUCCCGCCUCGCCUCGCGCGCGCUGCUCGCCGCCUCCUACCACUGCCCCCGCGUCCGCCUCAGCGCGGCCGCCCGCGCGCGCCGCCUCCGCGGGCGCGGGGGCGGGGACGGCGCGACCGCCUUCCGCUUGGCCGCCGCGAACGUCGCCUCGCUCCUCGGGACGCACCUUCGCUCCCUCGCGCUCGACGCGUCCCAAGGGCAUGGCUGCCCCGAUCAAGCGAUUUGGGCGAAGCACGCGGAGUUCGACGAGGCCAACGACCUGCACCUCACCAGCGGCGAGUCCGUGGCGGCGUGGGCGGCCACUGCCGCUGGCCUCGUCCUCCGGGAGGUGGACAUCGUCGACUUCUGGCCGCAGUCGUGCUGGCGGAAGGCGGAGGCGCUCCCCGUCAUCUCCCGUUUAUGUCAUAAUCUUUCAACACUGAGGCUGAGAAAGGCAUGGCUAUCUGUUGAUGGGCUCAGGAUAAUGCCAAAUCUGACUCAUCUGGCACUUGAGUCCAUUAGAUUAGAUGACGAGAACCUCAGCACAUUGAAUGAGUGCUUCCCUUGCCUUCAUACUCUCAAUCUUAUUGGAGUUGGGGGGCUCAAGGACCCCAAGAUUCACCUUCCUCAGCUGAAGAAUUGCCACUGGGAGGUAUCAGAUGUUCCACGGUCUUUAGCUAUCCAUGCCCCUAACUUGGUUUAUCUUGAGUUGAAGUGUGUUCGACCAGGAAUCCUCAUUCUAGAUACUCCAUCCGUGUCCACUCUCAAACUCACCAUAGAUAAACUUGGCCCUACCGUCCAAGUCGAUGGCCUUGUGAAUCUGAAAAACCUUCGGAUAGAGUCAUCGGAUCUAAAUUCCCUCUUGAGGCUGUUUUCAGAGAGUCGAGAUGUCAGGACACUAGAUCUUGAGCUACCUGCUUCUGCAGGCCGCAGUGAGCUUUACGAAGCGGUGGAGCCUGAGCUGUUUUCAAGAGCCACCGAAGUGAAGCUGUCGCCGAGGUUUUCAUAUGAACUGAUGAGGCGCAUUGUGUUCUCCAUGACCAGUUAUGACUGCCGAAGCUGUCUGAGGAAACUUCUGGUUCAUAUGCCGCCAUCCAUCCUUACUGCUUGCCCGUUCAUACCCUUGAUCAACAACUGCGCGCCGUUGUGCGAGGUGACUGUUCUUUUCCAUGCGGAUUCCAGUGAUGCCACUCGCCAAGCUGCUGCAUCCUCUUGGCCGCUGCGUUUUCCAGACAUCACUUGGCAAUGGGGUACUUGGCAGUAA